GCCCAACUAUCUAUCCUCUUAGCCUUCUCGGCCUCCGAAUUAAUACUUUUCUACAUCGCAUCGAAGCAACUCUCAUCCCCACCCUCAUCCUCAUCACACGAUGAGGAAACCAACCAGAACGACUAAAUGCUGGAAUCUACCUCCCUAUUCUAUACCCUAGCCAGCUCACUCCCCCUACUAAUCGCCAUCCUACACCUACAAAACCAAAUCGGCACACUCUACCUCCCAAUACUAAAACUAUCACACCCCACAAUAAACUCCUCCUGAUCCGGAUUAAUCGCAAGCCUCGCCCUACUCCUCGCCUUCAUACGUUAAAGCCCCCCUAUACGGCCUACACCUAUGACUCCCCAAAGCCCACGUAGAAGCCCCAAUCGCUGGCUCUAUAUUACUAGCCGCCCUCCUCCUAAAACUAGGAGGCUACGGCAUUAUACGAAUCACAAUUCUAGUAAACCCAACAUCAAACAACCUACACUACCCAUUCAUCACCCUAGCCCUAUGAGGUGCACUAAUAACCAGCGCCAUCUGCCUACGACAAAUCGACCUAAAAUCACUAAUCGCCUACUCAUCCGUCAGCCACAUGGGAUUAGUCGUAGCCGCAACCAUAAUCCAAACCCAAUGAGCAUUCUCAGGGGCAAUAAUCCUAAUAAUCUCACACGGUCUAACCUCAUCAAUACUAUUCUGCCUAGCCAAUACCAACUACGAACGAACCCACAGCCGAAUUCUUCUCCUCACACGAGGACUCCAACCCCUCCUACCACUAAUAGCCAUUUGAUGACUUCUAGCAAACCUAACAAACAUAGCCCUCCCUCCAACAACAAACCUUAUAGCAGAACUAACCAUUGUCAUCGCACUAUUCAACUGAUCUGCUUUCACAAUCAUCCUAACAGGAGCAGCAAUCCUACUCACCGCCUCUUACACUCUCUACAUACUCAUAAUAACACAACGAGGCACACUUCCAUCCCACAUCACCUCAAUCCAAAACUCCACUACCCGAGAACACCU
RNAcentral lists this long non-coding RNA (1002 nucleotides) under Serinus canaria (Common canary). RNAcentral describes it as "lncRNA (ENSSCAG00000001975.1)". Lineage: Eukaryota; Metazoa; Chordata; Aves; Passeriformes; Fringillidae. The record is from RNAcentral.